This 498-nucleotide ribosomal RNA is filed under the name uncultured bacterium. Its description in RNAcentral is "partial 16S ribosomal RNA". It matches the Rfam family "Bacterial small subunit ribosomal RNA", at positions 28 to 523 of the family's 1533-position model. The record is from RNAcentral.
GAUGAACGCUAGCGGCAGGCCUAAUACAUGCAAGUCGGACGGGAUCGGGGAGCUUGCUCCCCGUGAGAGUGGCGCACGGGUGCGUAACACGUAUGUAACCUACCUUUAUCAGGGGGAUAGCCUCUCGAAAGAGAGAUUAACACCGCAUAACAUCACAUGAUAGCAUUAUCGAGUGAUCAAAUAUUCAUAGGAGAAAGAUGGGCAUGCGAGACAUUAGCUAGUGGGCGGGGUAACGGCCCACCAAGGCGACGAUGUCUAGGGGAUCUGAGAGGAUGACCCCCCACACUGGUACUGAGACACGGACCAGACUCCUACGGGAGGCAGCAGUAAGGAAUAUUGGUCAAUGGACGCAAGUCUGAACCAGCCAUGCCGCGUGCAGGAGGACGGCCCUACGGGUUGUAAACUGCUUUUGUACCGGAAUAAACCCUUUUACGUGUAUGAGGCUGAAUGUACGGUAAGAAUAAGGAUCGGCUAACUCCGUGCCAGCCGCCGCGGUAA